GACGAACCGUGCGAACGUUGUUCGGAAUCACUGGGCUUAAAGGGUGCGUAGGCGGGCCGCAAAGUCAGGGGUGAAAGCCUCCAGCUUAACUGGAGAAGUGCCUUUGAUACUGGCGGCCUUGAGGAAGGUAGGGGCAUGCGGAACUGAUGGUGGAGCGGUGAAAUGUGUUGAUAUCAUCAGGAACUCCGGUGGCGAAAGCGGCGUGCUGGACCUUUUCUGACGCUGAGGCACGAAAGCCAGGGGAGCAAACGGG
RNAcentral lists this ribosomal RNA (253 nucleotides) under uncultured bacterium. RNAcentral's name for it is "partial 16S ribosomal RNA". It matches the Rfam family "Bacterial small subunit ribosomal RNA", at positions 524 to 776 of the family's 1533-position model. The record is from RNAcentral.